RNAcentral lists this ribosomal RNA (473 nucleotides) under uncultured bacterium. RNAcentral describes it as "SSU rRNA". It matches the Rfam family "Bacterial small subunit ribosomal RNA", at positions 26 to 518 of the family's 1533-position model. The record is from RNAcentral.
AGGACGAACGCUGGUGGCGUGCUUAACACAUGCAAGUCGAGCGGAAAGGCCCUUCGGGGUACUCGAGCGGCGAACGGGUGAGUAACACGUGAGCAACCUGCCCUUAGCUUCGGGAUAGCUCCGGGAAACCGGAAUUAAUACCGAAUAUGACUUUGGCUGACAUCAGCAGAAGUGGAAAGUUUUUCGGCUAGGGAUGGACUCGCGGCCUAUCAGCUAGUUGGUGAGGUAACGGCCCACCAAGGCGACGACGGGUAGCCGGCCUGAGAGGGCGACCGGCCACACUGGGACUGAGACACGGCCCAGACUCCUACGGGAGGCAGCAGUGGGGAAUAUUGCGCAAUGGGGCGAAAGCCUGACGCAGCGACGCCGCGUGGGGGAUGAAUGCCUUCGGGUUGUAACCCCUUUCAGCAGGGACGAAGCGAAAGUGACGGUACCUGCAGAAGAGCGCCGGCUAACUACGUGCCAGCAGCCGC